Molecule: non-coding RNA, 349 nt
Organism: Malus domestica (apple)
Lineage: Eukaryota; Viridiplantae; Streptophyta; Magnoliopsida; Rosales; Rosaceae
Source: RefSeq, a predicted model, not a curated record
GCUCUUGUCAAACUUUCUAAGUUUCUGAAUGCCCCAAUCCCAUCCCAGCCUGCAGUUUGGAGAAAGACUAGCAUACAAUUUGGUGUACUCUUUUGUGUGUCUGUCUCUCUCAUGCAGUGAAAUUACGUGAGAAGAAAGAUAGAUACAAAUGAUAUACAUAACCCUAUUCCAUGUAAAUUUCAACCUGCAAUUCCGGCCCACUCACAAUGGAGUGAGAGUCACUCAAAUACUAAUCUUAACGGGGUGAGUUGCAAUGCCAGGUCUAAGUGAGACCCUUAUAUUGAGGUUUGUGCCUGCACAAGGCCAAGUGGUACCUAAAUACAAAUGAGCUCAUUUCUUUGUGAGUAAA